GCUACCACAUCCAAGGAAGGCAGCAGGCGCGCAAAUUACCCACUCCCGGCACGGGGAGGUAGUGACGAAAAAUAACGAUACGGGACUCAUCCGAGGCCCCGUAAUCGGAAUGAGUACACUCUAAACCCUUUAACGAGGAUCAAUUGGAGGGCAAGUCUGGUGCCAGCAGCCGCGGUAAUUCCAGCUCCAAUAGCGUAUAUUAAAGUUGUUGCGGUUAAAAAGCUCGUAGUCGAAUUUGUGUCCCGCGCCGCCGGUUCAUCGUCCGCGGUGUUAACUGGCGUGUCGCGGGACGUCCUGCCGGUGGGCUUAGCUCUACGGGGCGGCCCAACUCAAUCCCGCCGCGGUGCUCUUCACUGAGUGUCGAGGUGGGCCGGCACGUUUACUUUGAACAAAUUAGAGUGCUUAAAGCAGGCUAAAACUUCGCCUGAAUACUGUGUGCAUGGAAUAAUGGAAUAGGACCUCGGUUCUAUUUUGUUGGUUUUCGGAACCCCGAGGUAAUGAUUAAUAGGAACGGAUGGGGGCAUUCGUAUUGCGACGUUAGAGGUGAAAUUCUUGGACCGUCGCAAGACGAACAGAAGCGAAAGCAUUUGCCAAAAACGCUUUCAUUGAUCAAGAACGAAAGUUAGAGGUUCGAAGGCGAUCAGAUACCGCCCUAGUUCUAACCAUAAACGAUGCCAGCUAGCGAUCCGCCGACGUUCCAUUAUAUGACUCGGCGGGCAGCUUCCGGGAAACCAAAGCUUUUGGGUUCCGGGGGAAGUAUGGUUGCAAAGCUGAAACUUAAAGGAAUUGACGGAAGGGCACCACCAGGAGUGGAGCCUGCGGCUUAAUUUGACUCAACACGGGAAACCUCACCAGGCCCGGACACCGGAAGGAUUGACAGAUUGAGAGCUCUUUCUUGAUUCGGUGGGUGGUGGUGCAUGGCCGUUCUUAGUUGGUGGAGCGAUUKGUCUGGUUAAUUCCGAUAACGAGCGAGACUCUAGCCUGCUAACUAGGCGUAUUUCGACAUCCCAAAGGCCCGGCGCCGCGCGGUUCGCCGCGCGUGCGUUUGCGGUUUUUACUGUCGGCGUACAAACAAUUCUUCUUAGAGGGACAGGCGGCUUCUAGCCGCACGAGAUUGAGCAAUAACAGGUCUGUGAUGCCCUUAGAUGUUCUGGGCCGCACGCGCGCUACACUGAAGGAAUCAGCGUGUCCUCCCUGGCCGAAAGGCCCGGGUAACCCGCUGAACCUCCUUCGUGCUAGGGAUUGGGGCUUGCAAUUGUUCCCCAUGAACGAGGAAUUCCCAGUAAGCGCGAGUCAUAAGCUCGCGUUGAUUACGUCCCUGCCCUUUGUACACACCGCCCGUCGCUACUACCGAUUGAAUGAUU
RNAcentral lists this ribosomal RNA (1364 nucleotides) under Tenebroides corticalis. RNAcentral's name for it is "SSU rRNA". It matches the Rfam family "Eukaryotic small subunit ribosomal RNA", at positions 408 to 1718 of the family's 1831-position model. Lineage: Eukaryota; Metazoa; Arthropoda; Insecta; Coleoptera; Trogossitidae. The record is from RNAcentral.